Molecule: ribosomal RNA, 253 nt
Filed under: uncultured bacterium
Lineage: Bacteria
Description: partial 16S ribosomal RNA
Rfam family: Bacterial small subunit ribosomal RNA
Source: RNAcentral
UACAGAGGGUGCGAGCGUUAAUCGGAAUUACUGGGCGUAAAGCGUGCGUAGACGGUCAUGUAAGUCGGGGGUGAAAUCCCCGGGCUCAACCUGGGAAUUGCAUUCGAGACUGCGUGGCUAGGGUGCGGAAGAGGGAAGCGGAAUUUCCGGUGUAGCGGUGAAAUGCGUAGAUAUCGGAAGGAACAUCAGUGGCGCACGCGGCUUCCUGGUCCAGCACCGACGUUCAGGCACGAAAGCGUGGGGAGCAAACAGG